This 253-nucleotide ribosomal RNA is filed under the name uncultured bacterium. Its description in RNAcentral is "partial 16S ribosomal RNA". It matches the Rfam family "Bacterial small subunit ribosomal RNA", at positions 524 to 776 of the family's 1533-position model. The record is from RNAcentral.
UACGUAGGCAGCGAGCGUUGUUCGGAAUUACUGGGCGUAAAGAGUGUGUAGGCGGUGUUCCCAGUCUGUUGUGAAAUCUCCCGGCUUAACUGGGAGGGUGCAGCGGAAACUAGAAUGCUAGAGGGUGGGAGAGGUAAGCGGAAUUCCUGGUGUAGCGGUGAAAUGCGCAGAUAUCAGGAGGAACACCGGUGGCGAAGGCGGUUCUCUGGGCAUUACCUGACGCUGAGGAGCGAAAGCGUGGGGAGCAAACAGG